Molecule: ribosomal RNA, 288 nt
Filed under: Serratia marcescens
Lineage: Bacteria; Pseudomonadati; Pseudomonadota; Gammaproteobacteria; Enterobacterales; Yersiniaceae
Description: partial 23S ribosomal RNA
Rfam family: Bacterial large subunit ribosomal RNA
Source: RNAcentral
CUAAAAUGCACAGGUCGUGAGUUCGAUGAGUAGGGCGGGACACGUGACAUCCUGUCUGAAUAUGGGGGGACCAUCCUCCAAGGCUAAAUACUCCUGACUGACCGAUAGUGAACCAGUACCGUGAGGGAAAGGCGAAAAGAACCCCGGCGAGGGGAGUGAAAUAGAACCUGAAACCGUGUACGUACAAGCAGUGGGAGCACCUUCGUGGUGUGACUGCGUACCUUUUGUAUAAUGGGUCAGCGACUUAUAUUUUGUAGCAAGGUUAACCGUAUAGGGGAGCCGUAGGGA